Molecule: ribosomal RNA, 484 nt
Filed under: uncultured bacterium
Lineage: Bacteria
Description: partial 16S ribosomal RNA
Rfam family: Bacterial small subunit ribosomal RNA
Source: RNAcentral
AUUGAACGCUGGCGGCAGGCCUAACACAUGCAAGUCGAGCGGAUGAAGGGAGCUUGCUCCUGGAUUCAGCGGCGGACGGGUGAGUAAUGCCUAGGAAUCUGCCUGGUAGUGGGGGAUAACGUCCGGAAACGGGCGCUAAUACCGCAUACGUCCUGAGGGAGAAAGUGGGGGAUCUUCGGACCUCACGCUAUCAGAUGAGCCUAGGUCGGAUUAGUUAGUUGGUGGGGUAAAGGCCUACCAAGGCGACGAUCCGUAACUGGUCUGAGAGGAUGAUCAGUCACACUGGAACUGAGACACGGUCCAGACUCCUACGGGAGGCAGCAGUGGGGAAUAUUGGACGAUGGGCGAAAGCCUGAUCCAGCCAUGCCGCGUGUGUGAAGAAGGUCUUCGGAUUGUAAAGCACUUUAAGUUGGGAGGAAGGGCAGUAAGUUAAUACCUUGCUGUUUUGACGUUACCAACAGAAUAAGCACCGGCUAACUUCGUG